Long non-coding RNA from Musa acuminata AAA Group (dessert banana), 1055 nucleotides. RefSeq lists it as uncharacterized. Lineage: Eukaryota; Viridiplantae; Streptophyta; Magnoliopsida; Zingiberales; Musaceae. The record is from RefSeq and is a predicted model, not a curated record. The transcript has 3 exons.
UCAGAUACUGAGACUUCCAAUAGAUUUCACUUUCAUAUACAAAAUGACCAAUUUUUUUUAUAUAUCAUGCCUGGUACUUUUUAACAUUUUUUUCCUCUUUAUUAAGAAAUAGUUCAUGUUUGACUUAAACUAAACAUAAUUUACUCACCAUCAAUCUGUUUGGCAGGCACCAAAUCCAACUAGGAUCUGAUUUAGACCUCUUCUCUGUUGGACUCUGAUACCAGGAUACUGAGCAUCUGUCACUAAAGCACUAGCCUAAAGAAAAAAAGAAGCUAUGUAUCAAUUCCUCUAUAUCUUCCAAGUUAUCUUGUUUCUCCCAAUCCUCAGCCAUUUCAUCAAGUCAAAAACUGGUGAAGAGAAGAGAUCCAAUGUGGUGUACCAUACCACACUCUGUACCACUCACUUUGGUCUGAGUGAGGUUUCAAGUCUUGUAGUGCUCCAAAUAUCAGUGAGACAUAUAUCAUGGCAUGUUGCAGCUCAUGGAAGCAACUUCUUGUGGAGAACACCCUCAUCCUCUACCCUCAUGUCUGAAGUAUGCAAUCAUGUCUCUGGACCUUCUAUGCUGCUGUCUUUGAGAUCGUACUCCAACAAUGGAUGAGCAAUAUCUACUUCUGGGAGGACUUGGCAGGGAGCUGGAGAAAGCGAGUGACCAGAUCGAGGCCUGUGGCACCAACGCUUCUCGCACAUUUCAUGCAAGGCCUGGAGAACAAAAUCCCAUCCCUGUGGUGAACUUAAGGGAAGAUGCUAUUCUCUUUCACCUUCCAAACCCAAAAUGAAAUGAUCUUGAGAGAGCAUUUGGCAGUCAUGUGGUCGUCUUCUGACUUUACUUUCACAAAGUUGCAUAUGAUUGAAGAAAGAAAGAACAACUCUUCCACCUUAUGGAUGGAUAACUUUGGAUAUGGUUUCUAUCCACAAGAAAGCAUCUGGAGCUUGAGUUCCCUGUAAGGCUUUUCUUCUCUUUACACAACUUGCAUACCUCUUUCUUCCCCCUUUAAAACAAUAGCCAAUUUAUAUUUUAUAUUGCAGAAAAUCUAGCAUGUUUUUAAUCAUUUCUA